Molecule: ribosomal RNA, 1549 nt
Filed under: Klebsiella pneumoniae
Lineage: Bacteria; Pseudomonadati; Pseudomonadota; Gammaproteobacteria; Enterobacterales; Enterobacteriaceae
Description: bacterial SSU rRNA
Rfam family: Bacterial small subunit ribosomal RNA
Source: RNAcentral
AAAUUGAAGAGUUUGAUCAUGGCUCAGAUUGAACGCUGGCGGCAGGCCUAACACAUGCAAGUCGAGCGGUAGCACAGAGAGCUUGCUCUCGGGUGACGAGCGGCGGACGGGUGAGUAAUGUCUGGGAAACUGCCUGAUGGAGGGGGAUAACUACUGGAAACGGUAGCUAAUACCGCAUAACGUCGCAAGACCAAAGUGGGGGACCUUCGGGCCUCAUGCCAUCAGAUGUGCCCAGAUGGGAUUAGCUAGUAGGUGGGGUAACGGCUCACCUAGGCGACGAUCCCUAGCUGGUCUGAGAGGAUGACCAGCCACACUGGAACUGAGACACGGUCCAGACUCCUACGGGAGGCAGCAGUGGGGAAUAUUGCACAAUGGGCGCAAGCCUGAUGCAGCCAUGCCGCGUGUGUGAAGAAGGCCUUCGGGUUGUAAAGCACUUUCAGCGGGGAGGAAGGCGUUAAGGUUAAUAACCUCAUCGAUUGACGUUACCCGCAGAAGAAGCACCGGCUAACUCCGUGCCAGCAGCCGCGGUAAUACGGAGGGUGCAAGCGUUAAUCGGAAUUACUGGGCGUAAAGCGCACGCAGGCGGUCUGUCAAGUCGGAUGUGAAAUCCCCGGGCUCAACCUGGGAACUGCAUUCGAAACUGGCAGGCUAGAGUCUUGUAGAGGGGGUAGAAUUCCAGGUGUAGCGGUGAAAUGCGUAGAGAUCUGGAGGAAUACCGGUGGCGAAGGCGGCCCCCUGGACAAAGACUGACGCUCAGGUGCGAAAGCGUGGGGAGCAAACAGGAUUAGAUACCCUGGUAGUCCACGCCGUAAACGAUGUCGAUUUGGAGGUUGUGCCCUUGAGGCGUGGCUUCCGGAGCUAACGCGUUAAAUCGACCGCCUGGGGAGUACGGCCGCAAGGUUAAAACUCAAAUGAAUUGACGGGGGCCCGCACAAGCGGUGGAGCAUGUGGUUUAAUUCGAUGCAACGCGAAGAACCUUACCUGGUCUUGACAUCCACAGAACUUAGCAGAGAUGCUUUGGUGCCUUCGGGAACUGUGAGACAGGUGCUGCAUGGCUGUCGUCAGCUCGUGUUGUGAAAUGUUGGGUUAAGUCCCGCAACGAGCGCAACCCUUAUCCUUUGUUGCCAGCGGUCCGGCCGGGAACUCAAAGGAGACUGCCAGUGAUAAACUGGAGGAAGGUGGGGAUGACGUCAAGUCAUCAUGGCCCUUACGACCAGGGCUACACACGUGCUACAAUGGCAUAUACAAAGAGAAGCGACCUCGCGAGAGCAAGCGGACCUCAUAAAGUAUGUCGUAGUCCGGAUUGGAGUCUGCAACUCGACUCCAUGAAGUCGGAAUCGCUAGUAAUCGUAGAUCAGAAUGCUACGGUGAAUACGUUCCCGGGCCUUGUACACACCGCCCGUCACACCAUGGGAGUGGGUUGCAAAAGAAGUAGGUAGCUUAACCUUCGGGAGGGCGCUUACCACUUUGUGAUUCAUGACUGGGGUGAAGUCGUAACAAGGUAACCGUAGGGGAACCUGCGGUUGGAUCACCUCCUUACCUUAAAGAA